UCUUNCGGAGCAACUGCCGCGUGAUGUGAUGAAGGUUUUCUGGAUCUGUAAAGCUCUGUUGCCAGGGAAGAACGUCCGGUAGAGUAACUGCUGUCGGAGUGACGGUACCUGAGAAAAAAGCCCCGGCUAACUACGUGCCAGCAGCCGCGGUAAUACGUAGGGGGCAAGCGUUGUCCGGAAUUAUUGGGCGUAAAGCGCGCGCA
Molecule: ribosomal RNA, 203 nt
Filed under: uncultured bacterium
Lineage: Bacteria
Description: partial 16S ribosomal RNA
Rfam family: Bacterial small subunit ribosomal RNA
Source: RNAcentral